CACGUAGGCGGACUUUCAAGUCAGGGGUGAAAUCCCGGAGCUCAACUUCGGAAUUGCCUUUGAUACUGUUGGUCCCGAGUCCGGAAGAGGUGGGUGGAAUUCCUAGUGUAGAGGUGAAAUUCGUAGAUAUUAGGAAGAACACCGGUGGCGAAGGCGGCCCACUGGUCCGGUACUGACGCUGAGGUGCGAAAGCGUGGGGAGCAAACA
Molecule: ribosomal RNA, 207 nt
Filed under: uncultured bacterium
Lineage: Bacteria
Description: partial 16S ribosomal RNA
Rfam family: Bacterial small subunit ribosomal RNA
Source: RNAcentral